Small nuclear RNA from Phyllostomus hastatus (greater spear-nosed bat), 107 nucleotides. The record is from RefSeq and is a predicted model, not a curated record. Lineage: Eukaryota; Metazoa; Chordata; Mammalia; Chiroptera; Phyllostomidae.
GUGCUUGCUUUGGCAGCACAUAUACUAAAGUUGGAACGAUACAGAGAAGAUUAGCAUGGCCCCUGUGCAAGGAUGACAUGCAAAUUCAUGAAGCAUUCCAUGUUUUU